This 246-nucleotide long non-coding RNA is filed under the name Musa acuminata (dwarf banana). RNAcentral describes it as "long non-coding RNA (MACU_LNC009066)". The record is from RNAcentral. Lineage: Eukaryota; Viridiplantae; Streptophyta; Magnoliopsida; Zingiberales; Musaceae.
AAGCUAAGGUUUCAGCCGUCUCCCUUCCUACCACCGGUCUCCUCGAGGACAUUAGGGUAGAAUGGAAGAAGGAUCCAGAGAUCAGUAACAUCAUAAAAAAAUUGGAGGAGGAUCCAAGUGCAAUAGCCCACUAUACUUGGGAUUCGAGGGAUCUACGCUACAAAGGUCGCAUUGUGCUUAUACCUGACUCCCCUUGCAUCGCAGUCAUCUUGCAUGAAAUGCACUCCAUACCUUCAGCAGGGCACU